Molecule: long non-coding RNA, 3323 nt
Organism: Melospiza melodia melodia
Lineage: Eukaryota; Metazoa; Chordata; Aves; Passeriformes; Passerellidae
Exons: 5
Source: RefSeq, a predicted model, not a curated record
GUAACAGAGGUACAGCUGGAGGAGGCUCCACGGAAAGACUGUGGAAAUGUGGAAAGCAGGGAAAUGAAGAGGGACACGUCACUCGUUGCAAGCUGAAAUGCAGAGGGGGUGGUAAGGGGAAGAAAGGAGCAGGGAGGCAGAGAUUUGGAAGCUUCAUCACAGAAGAACUGGCCUCAAGAGCAAAGGAAAGAGUUUCCAUCCAAGGAUGUGAGAGAGUUGUCCCUGCUUGUCCAUCUGUGCUCUACCCUGAUAGUACUUUCCAGUGCAGCUCUGCAAAAGAGCAGAAGACAUUUGAAUCGGCUGGGGAUCUGGUUCCUGUUACAGAUGACCCCACACACUUUUUCAGCCAGGAACUUUGUUAGUGAAUAUCCAUUUGCUGUCUACAAUUCCACCUAGGAGAGGCAAGAUUGCUCAUUUUCUGUGUGCUUGAGAGACGGGAAAGUCAAGAUCCUACAAUGGCCAUCAUGUUGACUCCUCCUCUUUUCCUCCUCUUCAUCCUUUUGCCCUGCAGUAAAUCUCAGGACUUUCUGGACCAGCAUCAGAAAUGGAACUACAGAGAAGGCGCUGACAAGGUCAACAUAGAAGGUGUUUACAGCAUUACUCAAACCCUCGAGAAAUGGGGAAAUGACAUCUUCUGGCAAAUGAAGCAUACCCUGCUGAACAACCCAAAUGCUCUCCUGCCUGAGUUCUCCAGUCUCCGACCUGUCUCUGCAGCUGUGGACAACCUUGUGAGGGAAGUCCAGUCGAUAAGGAAAAGGCUGGAAGAACUGAACGAACGUCUCAAUGUCAUCAGCAAAACUGUCCUUCCCCUUCGACUGAAUGCUCUGCAGAGCCAGAGGCGUGGAAAUACUCAGCUGAGGAGACUCCCAACACACAGGAGAAGGUUAUAUGCUCGCAGGAGACCUCAGAGCAGACCUCAGAGCACUUAAUUCUCUACCAGAAAAAAGGGGAAAUCCUCUUUUUCUUUUUCAUCUGCUUAAGCCUUUCUCAAUGGGACAUUGCUGGAGAGAAAGAAAGUAAAGCACACAACAAGUCAGCUUUGCUAAGGAGACCAGAACUUCUGCAUUUUGUUGCUGCCUUAGGUCAGUAGGCAAAACCUGACCCUGUUCUUUAAUGAUGGCUGUUUUGUGUCCCAAGCAAAAAAAAGUUGACAAGCUCAGUCUUCUUGAGCAUGAAUACCUUCAUUCUAUACAGGCAUUCUUUCUGCUUACCAGAGGAAGCUCUUUCUAUAAAGAUCAGGUGAAUUUCUCUCUCUGUCCUAUUUUUAAAGCACUCCAUCUGAAACAGCUGGGGAAUUUGAACUUUGAAAGUGCUGAACAACUGAUGAAUGCAGAAAGAUGGAUUAGUGUUUGGCACUUCCAGCUGGGCAGGGAGAGGGAGAGGAAGUUAUGUUUCAAAAUAUUGCCUUAACCUACUGUCCAUGUUCAUAUGUUCAGAGGGUGAGUAGGGCUGGAUAACCUUGGUCUGUACACCAUGAUUCAACACUGAAGAUAUAUCAAUUGCUAGGGACCAAAUAUGAACAUCCACCUUCUGCAAAGAGUCUUUUUCUAGCUAUGUGGAACUGUGCACUCACAAUGGUGUUACUCAGUAGAUUUGUUCAGAAUUUCCAGUGCUCUGAAACACACUGAGCUGAUUUUUGCCAGGACCCAUGGAAAACAGGGGAUUUUUAAAUUGUUUUUCAAAACUAUUUAGAUACCUUUAUGGCAAAGAUAGGUGUCUGGAAGGAUUUUCCAAAAUAGCUUAAGAGACUCUUCAGUCCCCAAAAUCACAGAUAAUAAUUCAAUUGGUGUCUAGUUCACAGAGUAUUUUCUCUGCAUGCCAGCAUUGACCUCCAGACACUUCCCACUAUCCUUUAGCACAAUUAAUAUCUGUAGAAAAUUAACAACGACACUCUACAAAGACUUUGGUCCCUCAGGGAUUACCCAGAAUACCCUGCCUUCAGCUUGUCUUUGCCUGUGACAAUAAAGCUGGUGAUAAAAAAAGAGUGCAUGAAUCAAAUUAUGCACUGAAUGGAGGAUAGACUGGCCUUGCCCUUCAGGUCUCUAGAGAUAAAUCCAGUACAGAGAUUUCCAUUCAGCACUGCAGUCAACUGUGUACAUGAAAUGUGUUGAAACAUAAGAAAGAGACUCAGAGAGGAAAAGAAACAGGUUGUCUUUAAGGUCUGGAUGAAGAAAUUUAUGAGAACACAAAUAAAGAAUGGAUUAUGUCUAAAUGAUUGUGGGGGUGUCUGGCAUGUCAGUUGUUUUGAAAACACUCUCCAGUCACAGUGAGGAUGCUGACUAGCUAUUUAAGGAUUCCCAAAGCCUGAGUUUAUGGAAAGAAAUUCAGUGACAGUACAAUAACCUCCAAAAGGAAAAGGGUAAAAUCUAGUUUCGUAUGAAAUCUUUCAGAAUGGACUAGAAGAAUUAACACAGUAAGAAUUUUAGCUGCAGCCUGAGAGUUAAUUGAGUGGGGGAGGUAAAUAAUUCCUGGAUGUAAGUUCUCUGAGCUCAGGUUUUCAGAAAAUAACAAAACUCAGACUUGGCCUUCUUUGGUUUUUGCUUGGGAACUUGAAACGCUGCUUAGCUAGAGAAGGGAAAAAUCAAGACUGUGAAAAGGCUGAUAAAAAGAUACAGUUGUGCCUUUGUUGAAGUUGUCAUCAUAAUUUCUCAGGAAAUGUAGAGCAUUUUGAUCACAGAAUAUAUUUACAUAAAUUGCAAGGAAUAAUAGGAGAGAAAGACCCCCAACUUCUUGUUAUUCUGCAUUCAGAGUUUCUAGGCUGUGCUGUAGCAACAGCUGCAUCCUUGCACAGACUGCUGAUCCCUCCAAGGGAUGCUUUGCUUGGGGCUGUAGGGACUGCUUUUUAUUUUGGCCUGUCUGGAGGAAGAGUACAACAUAAAUGUUAGAUUUCAUGGUCUUAUUUUAGACACAAGCAUUUUAUCAGGCAACUCAAGCUGUAUAAAUUGAGGACUACUUGAAACACAAAGAUAAGACUUCCCUAAGUCCCUCAAGUUACUGAUGGCUGGUGGUGGGAGGCCAGACCAGAUCAUUGCAUACUUUUACUUUACACCUAAAUGUCCACCACCAGCUUCUGCCAGAAACAGAGAACAGAGCAAGAUGAACCCCCAGUCUAACCCAGUCCACGUAUUCCUAUGCUGAUAUGUGAAAGUUUGUAGUCUUGGCAAAACCUCCUCAGCACAAUGGAGAAAGCCACCAUCUAUUUUAAAAGAGAACAAAUAAGCUGCAGCAUGCAAUGUGUAUUACAAUUCUCCAAUUUCUUGCAGAAUGGUGAAUAAACCAAAUAAUAUAAAUGGUUAAUAAAUUACUAAUCUGUGACCUUGUCA